Molecule: ribosomal RNA, 465 nt
Filed under: Vreelandella stevensii
Lineage: Bacteria; Pseudomonadati; Pseudomonadota; Gammaproteobacteria; Oceanospirillales; Halomonadaceae
Description: partial 16S ribosomal RNA
Rfam family: Bacterial small subunit ribosomal RNA
Source: RNAcentral
CCUACAGGGGGCAGCAGUGGGGAAUAUUGGACAAUGGGGGCAACCCUGAUCCAGCCAUGCCGCGUGUGUGAAGAAGGCCCUCGGGUUGUAAAGCACUUUCAGUGAGGAAGAACGCCUGGUGGUUAAUACCCAUCAGGAAAGACAUCACUCACAGAAGAAGCACCGGCUAACUCCGUGCCAGCAGCCGCGGUAAUACGGAGGGUGCGAGCGUUAAUCGGAAUUACUGGGCGUAAAGCGCGCGUAGGUGGCUUGAUAAGCCGGUUGUGAAAGCCCCGGGCUCAACCUGGGAACGGCAUCCGGAACUGUCAAGCUAGAGUGCAGGAGAGGAAGGUAGAAUUCCCGGUGUAGCGGUGAAAUGCGUAGAGAUCGGGAGGAAUACCAGUGGCGAAGGCGGCCUUCUGGACUGACACUGACACUGAGGUGCGAAAGCGUGGGUAGCAAACAGGAUUAGAUACCCCUGUAGUC